Molecule: transfer RNA, 89 nt
Filed under: Candidatus Auribacterota bacterium
Lineage: Bacteria; Pseudomonadati; Candidatus Auribacterota
Description: tRNA-Ser
Rfam family: tRNA
About the family: Transfer RNA (tRNA) molecules are approximately 80 nucleotides in length. Their secondary structure includes four short double-helical elements and three loops (D, anti-codon, and T loops).
Source: RNAcentral
GGAGAAAUGGCAGAGCCUGGUUGAAUGCGGUAGACUCGAAAUCUAUUGUGCCCGCAAGGGCACCGGGGGUUCGAAUCCCUCUUUCUCCG